Long non-coding RNA from Calypte anna (Anna's hummingbird), 655 nucleotides. RefSeq lists it as uncharacterized. The record is from RefSeq and is a predicted model, not a curated record. Lineage: Eukaryota; Metazoa; Chordata; Aves; Apodiformes; Trochilidae. The transcript is spliced from 3 exons.
AACCCAAAUUACCUCUUUCUUUGGCUUCCAAGAGGACUAAUCCCCUGUCUAGUGCUUUAUCAGUCAGUUGAGAAAGACUGAGACCAACCUGCCAAUCCAAACAGAAUAUAUUGAAAAAAUCAUAUUACCACACUGCAGAACCUCGCCGUAAUUCACCCAGCAGCUCAGCUGACGCCCUUGAUGAGACCAGCAGCAGGCAGUUGUUGUUCCAAAGUCAUACCUGUCCACAGAUUGAAAGUCCUUGGCUGACAGUCCUGGGAAUGGCAGGAAUCAUGUGGCAAAAGAAGCAUUUCAGCUUGAUAGACCCUAUAAAUUUCCAAGAGCCUUCUUUUGCAAAGGCAAAGGAAGAAGUGAGGCUGAGUUGGCCACAUCUCCCAGGGACAGAGGGACAAGAUUAUGCUGGCCACAAGGAGCCCUGUCCAGCUCCUACUUCAUCCCUUUGCUCUGCGGAUGGUCCCAGCACCUGUGAAUGAGCCACUUUGUUGGUCAGCAGCUUUAUUUUUAGGGCAUGUUAAUCCCACUCAUGGCAAAUGAAUUUGUGACUAUUGCAGACAUCGGUGGGAUCCCUGCCGGGUUGGGGGACACGGCAGGAGGGUCCUUGAGGUCCCUGGGAGCUGGACCUGCCGGUUGACAUUGGGCAGAGGGAGGGGACCAG